Molecule: ribosomal RNA, 301 nt
Filed under: uncultured bacterium
Lineage: Bacteria
Description: partial 16S ribosomal RNA
Rfam family: Bacterial small subunit ribosomal RNA
Source: RNAcentral
CAGUCGCCACGGGAAUACGUAGGUGGCAAGCGUUGUCCGGAAUUAUUGGGCGUAAAGCGCGCGCAGGUGGUUUAAUAAGUCUGAUGUGAAAGCCCACGGCUCAACCGUGGAGGGUCAUUAGAAACUGUUUAACUUGAGUGCAGAAGAGGAGAGUGGAAUUCCAUGUGUAGCGGUGAAAUGCGUAGAUAUAUGGAGGAACACCAGUGGCGAAGGCGACUCUCUGGUCUGUAACUGACGCUGAGGCGCGAAAGCGCGGGGAGCAAACAGGAUUAGAUACCCCCGUAGUCCCUGUCUCUUAUAC